AAAGGCUUAGUUAAAUAAUAACACUAAUUUGUCAAAUUAAUAUUACUCCCUAGGUAGCCUUUA
This 63-nucleotide transfer RNA is filed under the name Dorcus koreanus. RNAcentral describes it as "tRNA-Asp". The record is from RNAcentral. Lineage: Eukaryota; Metazoa; Arthropoda; Insecta; Coleoptera; Lucanidae.